UACAGAGGUCUCAAGCGUUGUUCGGAUUCAUUGGGCGUAAAGGGUGCGUAGGCGGCGCGGUAAGUCGGGUGUGAAAUCUCGGGGCUUAACUCCGAAACUGCAUUUGAUACUGCCGUGCUUGAGGACUGGAGAGGAGACUGGAAUUUACGGUGUAGCGGUGAAAUGCGUAGAUAUCGUAAGGAAGACCAGUGGCGAAGGCGGGUCUCUGGACAGUUCCUGACGCUGAGGCACGAAGGCCAGGGGAGCAAACGGG
Molecule: ribosomal RNA, 253 nt
Filed under: uncultured bacterium
Lineage: Bacteria
Description: partial 16S ribosomal RNA
Rfam family: Bacterial small subunit ribosomal RNA
Source: RNAcentral